UUCCCCUUCGGGGGACAGGGUGACAGGUGGUGCAUGGUUGUCGUCAGCUCGUGUCGUGAGAUGUUGGGUUAAGUCCCGCAACGAGCGCAACCCUCGACCUUAGUUGCCAGCAUUCAGUUGGGCACUCUAAGGUGACUGCCGGCUAAAAGUCGGAGGAAGGUGGGGAUGACGUCAAAUCAUCAUGCCCCUUAUGACCUGGGCUACACACGUGCUACAAUGGGCGGUACAAAGGGUCGCGAACCCGCGAGGGGGAGCCAAUCCCAAAAAGCCGCUCUCAGUUCGGAUUGCAGGCUGCAACUCGCCUGCAUGAAGCCGGAAUCGCUAGUAAUCGCGGAUCAGCAUGCCGCGGUGAAUACGUUCCCGGGCCUUGU
Molecule: ribosomal RNA, 371 nt
Filed under: uncultured Anoxybacillus sp.
Lineage: Bacteria; Bacillati; Bacillota; Bacilli; Caryophanales; Anoxybacillaceae
Description: bacterial SSU rRNA
Rfam family: Bacterial small subunit ribosomal RNA
Source: RNAcentral